AUCCACCCACAAUAAAUAAAGAACCCUUCUCCCCUUCCGAAACAAACCAAACCCCUCGAUCCCUUUCGCUGGUCCGUCGAAUUCCACCGGCUGGCUCCCAUCUCCGUUCUCGUCCGGCGGCAUAAAGAGGAGAGAGAGAGAGAGAGAGAGAGAGAGAGAGAGGGAUUAAGCAACGAUGUUCGAGUUCUUCAUCGUCGGGUGCACCGGAAUCGUGGUGUUCCUCCACGGAGCUAAUUUCCUCUUCCGCGUCCUCUCUCAGCAGAUCAGCGUCCGAUCCCUCAGCUUCCUGGGAUUCGUCGGAUGGUAGGAAGGAUUAGUUCGAGGAUAUGUCGGCACUCCAAUAUGUAGAAAUUUUUGAUAUAAUUAUCCACAAAAAAAUUCGCGAAGAUGCGCUAUUAAUGUAGACCUAACUGUGUAACUAAAGGAAAGGAGUUGAUUGUUUGGUCUUUCAAUGCUUUUUUUGUUUAUCUACCUACCUAUCUAUCUAUCUAUUUAUUUAUCUAAUAUUUAUUUGGUUGGA
Molecule: long non-coding RNA, 520 nt
Organism: Phoenix dactylifera (date palm)
Lineage: Eukaryota; Viridiplantae; Streptophyta; Magnoliopsida; Arecales; Arecaceae
Source: RefSeq, a predicted model, not a curated record